GAGGAGGGGGCGAAAGGUGAGGGGUGGGAGGGGGUGUGUCGGCGGCGGAGAAGGGAAGGGAGGAGUAGAGCUCGGGAAGGGUCGGCUGCCUCCUCGGGGGUAGGGUUAGGGCGCAGCCUCAAGUCUCCGUCCCCUCCACACCUAGCUACUACCACAUCGUUUCUUCUCCUACCCUCUAGCUCCUCCCUCGCUCGGCAACGUCUCCUCUACCCUCUUCCCCCACGCGCCACCACUCCGUAGCCGUGGCCUCUUCGUCUAGGCGCCACGCGCCACUUCGCCCUAUCCACUGCGGCCGACCGCGAGCGCCCAUGCAGGACGCCCUACUCCGGCGUCGAGGUCAGAAGAGGGGCGCCACCAGGUGCCGCGAUAGUGACAGCAGGAGUCGUCCUCCUCGCGCCCUGCGUCUCCGCCGGCCGAGGCAGGACGAGAACACGGCGGCAUGGAGACGGAAAGAGCAGGCGGCGCGGAGUCCGAUCGUCCACCUGCCGCGCCUCUCGAGAGCAGUGUUCUGUGUUCUCCUACCGAGAGCGCCUGCGGCGCGAGACGAGGAGAGCGGAGACGGCGCGAGACGAGGCCGAGCAGGGGCGGCGCGAGACGAGACCGAACAGCAGUGGCACGAGACGAGGCCGAACGGUGGCUUUUCCAACACGAAAGUCAGGUUCCUCGACUACCCAGCGGCCUAGGCAGCCGGUGGGGUACCUGAAGCGGACCUUGCGCCCGACCCUCCGCCGCGGCGGUCGGACGUUGCGGUUGGGGCUGGGGCUGGUUGGGCCGCGGCGUCUUCCACCUCCGCCUCAGGUACUACGAACAGAGGCCCGGCGCGCAGCGGCAGAGGCCCGACUCCGCUCGGCUGACGGCGCGUCACGGACGAGAGUACUUCUACUUACACAGUACAAGCAGUUACGGCCACCCAUAUAGACUUUUUUGACGUUUCCUUCGUCUUCUGUUACACGAGGGCUCUCUCUACGUGUUAUAAGUUAUGAGAAUACAGGACGUGUUACGUGGCGUGUUCCAGGGACGAGGGAAGGGACGACGUCACUCCUCUGCUCUCUCCUCUAACGACCUAGACCUUUACCUCCAGUCGUGGUGGAUGUCCUGUUCUCGCGGCGAGGAGAGGCUGAGAAGUUCAGAGAGUACGAGACGAGAAACGAGACCGACUUAAUCUUCGAUCGUAAUUUUCGACUACACAAAAUAUUUCUCACUGUUUAUACUGAUAAACCCCUUUGGUAAGUUGUUGAGUCCAAGGAUUAAAGAACUUACGGUUUUAAUUACCCUCCGGUCAUUUUCUUCAGUAGUUUCUAUGUUUCACCGAUCUUCUCCUAAAAGGAUAUUGACAAGUUUUCCAUGUACCUCUUCCACCACCACGGCGGCUCCGACAACGAGGGCCACAAUCUCUCCCGCAGUGACUGGCUACGGCGGCCGAACGGGCUCCACCGGACGUGCAGAAGUACUGGUCGGUAGAGGGGUCCACUUAGGGAAGGGAAAUCCUUUUAGAUAGAUCGAUUAAACAAACAAUCCUAACGUCUUGCACUUAGAAGGAAUCAGUAGUGGUUUAACUGUACGAGACUGGUUGAUUUUUUGUUGUUUCAUAACUUACCACGAUGAGCUUACCUCAUACUUUACUAAAUCAUUAGUGAACAUACGUUUUUCUCCACGUGUUAAACCACAACACUCUUAACUUGACCUUGCCUUAAAAGUACGGAUACAAAAAAAGGUACAGCUGGAUAGAGGUCAGCAUACGUCUAGGUGUCACCUAGUUCGCCUUAACCGUGUAAACGAUAUGUCUAACGUUUCGCGGAACCUUAGUUCCAAAAACAGUGACGUCCAAAUAACCAAGUCUAUCUAUGUUAUAUAUACCAUGUUUCAACAAAAGGCCUUCGUUGAGACAAUACGGCGAGAUCUUUCGGUUUCUCUUUGAUUGGCGAACGCUGCAAAUUCCACACCUAUAUACGUCUUUGAUGUUUUGGAAACAUCGUGCAUAGCUUCUUCUUUGAUUACCUUUACCAUAAUAGGACGGUAGGAGAACACUGCGAACUACGGGACUACGUUUUCAUUUUAUUUUAAUAAACCGAAAUGGUUCAAUAUGGGCAGUUAAAGUAUAUGUAAGAUUGACAUUAUACACCUUAUAGAGAUGUUCUGGAACUACAGUAAGACCUGUUGCAUCCGUCUAGAAUAGAGGUUCCGUGAGACCUAUCGAAUCGUCAACUACCAUCUGAAAAGUAGCAACCAAACUACACUCCGCGACAUUAACUUCACUUGAACGUCCGCUACGAACGGGCUUCUGGCUGACAUGUUCCAACAUAGCUAGAUAGAUAUAUGUUGGUACGGAGAAAGUCAAAAUACACAAAAAAAGGACUAUUGUGUAGAAUGAGAGUCUUGUGUUACGAGUAUCCUGACAACUACGAAAAGACGACAAUCUUAAAGCACGAAACAAAAAGCCGUUGACUAAUACGUCACGAUACUACAUCGAAACACAGAAGAUUUAAUAAAAAAUGAGUGUUUAUUAAAUAAUCUGUUGCCUUCUCGAUUUACGCAUGAAAACACAUCUGAAUGGAGGUAAGUGGACUAAAGAUAAAGUCGUAGAGCGUGUUACAUAAGUCUCUCUACGACGGUGAUCACUAUGUAGACACGUUUCGGUCUAGGUCUUACUCAGCUGUCUCAACCCUCAUCGCUAUGUUGUAGACCCCCGAUACGAAAAACUCGAACCUGCCUGUUACUACCGCGAAUCUUACCCCGGUAGAGGACAUACGUAAAAAGAUGAUACAGUGAUAGUGUGUUCACUAAGUGUUCCAAAUUCAUAAGAAUAUCGAAAAAAUAAAACAUCUGAUUACAAAAACAUUUACGACCCGUACGACGAAUAUGUUUGGGGUGACCUGGUUCAGGUUAGUACCAAGUCCGAUGGACAUAUCGAAACGAAAGGAUAGUACUUGACGACUG
RNAcentral lists this ribosomal RNA (2937 nucleotides) under Triticum aestivum (bread wheat). RNAcentral describes it as "partial small subunit ribosomal RNA". Lineage: Eukaryota; Viridiplantae; Streptophyta; Magnoliopsida; Poales; Poaceae. The record is from RNAcentral.